This 1341-nucleotide long non-coding RNA is filed under the name Spirodela polyrhiza (greater duckweed). RNAcentral's name for it is "long non-coding RNA (SPOL_LNC002584)". Lineage: Eukaryota; Viridiplantae; Streptophyta; Magnoliopsida; Alismatales; Araceae. The record is from RNAcentral.
CGCUGCUCUCGCCUCCGUUUUUUGUGAGAGAAGGAAGAGCGAAGGCAGGUCCGGUCCCGAAUGUGAAGAUUCCUCUGGAGUCUAGCGAUUCGUCGCGUUUGGGAAGAUAUCAGGGCGCGAAGGAGGAACUGGAACGAGGUGAUCCUCUUCCUCGUUCGUGAUUUGAGUUCGGGAACGCAGUCCGAGGUAAGAUGAGGUUUCUAAUGGCGCUGUUGUUUAGCUCAUGUUAAACGCCGGAUUCUUGUCAUGAUCGGGACGAAUUUCGGACGAUUGGAUACUCUGCAAGGUCUCUGAAGAUUUUAUUUAGAUAUUUCUCGCAGGAGUUCUCUUUUCCAUUUCGGUGGCUUCUUAUAUUCUGCUCUGCACUUGUUCCUGUCCGCUCGCGAAUUUUUGUUUCUAUCGUGAAUACUGAAUUUUAGCGAGAGGAACAGAGUGGGGGAGGUGAGGAAGGGCAGCACAGAGGUGUUGUUAACAACGAGUGCACUCAACUGUGAGGGAACGGCAGUAAGAGGACGAAUGGGACGGGGUGGAGAGCAAGGAAGUAGUUGAACAGAUCGGGGCGUUGAAUUGACAUUUGAUAGUGAUCAAAAAGUUUCGGAACUCUUGGAACAGGUAGCACCCGGUAGAAAACAGACAGCGAAUACAGCCUCGCAGAUGGUAGGGUGGCACCCGACGGCUCUUACGAUCCUCUGGCAAGUAGACGACAGGCUACUAGAGGGAACAUACCACGGACCAUCUUCAUCUAAAGUCAUGAGCCACUCUUAUCUCUGAGAAACAGGAUUUUUCUCUAGGUUUGAACCGCGAAAGGGGUCGUCUCUGUUAACGAUUCGCUUUGUGGACGAAAGGGAACUGGUGCUUUCUACUUCUCCAGGGCAUUUAUUACCGUCGAAAACACCUGCCCAAGAUGGUCGAAGUAUUAUUUAGAUAUGUGCCCCUGAAUUGCAUGGAAUCUCUCAGCGAAACAGAGAUCUGGCAUUUCAAAUUCUAAUUCCACGAUCAAUGAUGAACUUCAGAGGCAUGGAGCACGUCGCGAGAAAGUUGUGUACUCAUGGGUUUUUUUAAUGAACAAGAUCAGGAAUGUUUUUGCCUACCUUAGCUUAGUUCUUUCUCCACAAACAUCUAUGCUUGUGAUUUUCUAAUGCCUCUGGAUGAACAUUAUUUUUCCCUUACAGUUGUUUCUUUUUUCCGACAUAUAUUUUCCUUUUAAAUUACUUAUUGAUUUAUUUGUGAUAUUUUUAUCUUCACUUACCCACUAGUUGUUGGAGUUUGCGUAGCCUAGAGAAGCUAAUUUCAAAUAUAACGAAGUCGCUGGGUAGCUGAUCGAUUAUUGACCUCUGACAG